Molecule: microRNA precursor, 59 nt
Filed under: Petromyzon marinus (sea lamprey)
Lineage: Eukaryota; Metazoa; Chordata; Hyperoartia; Petromyzontiformes; Petromyzontidae
Description: Pma-Mir-10-P3o2_pre stem-loop
Source: RNAcentral
UCCCUGAGACCCUAACUCGUGACUCAGCUCCAGCAUCACGAGUCGGGGGCUCGGGGGUG